RNAcentral lists this long non-coding RNA (1174 nucleotides) under Anas platyrhynchos platyrhynchos (common mallard). Its description in RNAcentral is "lncRNA (ENSAPLG00000025987.1)". The record is from RNAcentral. Lineage: Eukaryota; Metazoa; Chordata; Aves; Anseriformes; Anatidae.
AUACCAUCCAGAGAUGAAGUGAUAAGCCAAAUGAAAUUACUAAUUCAUUGUAACAAAACCAUAGAGAAAUGUUUGCUACUCAGACAUUUAUUUAAUCUAUAAAGAUUGGAUUUUGUAACCUUUUUUUUUUUUUUUUUUUUUUUCAGUGACUUGUGGUAAAAAAUAUGCAUUUUUGAGAAUGUGAGAAUGUAUCACUACCAUCUGCUUUCAAUGAGCUUUAAAAGGGAACAACGAAAAUAACUGAAAUGAGACAAAAAUAAAGCUUCUCCUCGGAGUGGUGGAGGAAGCACAGCAUGUACCAUCACCAGCCGCUCCCUCGUACAGGUGCACUCCAGCUCCACACGCAGGCAGGAGUUCCUCGCAGUCUUCUCCCCUGUGGCACCCAGCUCCAGGUGGAAGAAUGUUAACUUCAUAGAAUGACAGUGCUCAAGGCAUACCUGAUGUGUGUUGGAUAAUACAAAAUCAAGAAGAUGCUGUGGAUUUUUUCAAGCUUAUUUCCUCUAGGCAGUGGCUAAUCUCUACUGGUAAGUCUCAAAUCCUUUCUCGAUAAGAAUCCUUAUACAAAAGCUCAGCUGUCAAUUUGGUGUUUCAGCUUGGGGUGUACAAAACCUUGUAUGCAAAUCCUUGGACAUUUUUACUGUGAUUCAUUGACUUUCUUUCCUUGGCACCAUUAUCACUUGUUGCCGACGGAAGGAAGACCCAGACACUCAAUAUGAGUGAACAGUGAACUUCAACUUUAAUGGAUAGCUCAGUCGCCUUUUAUCUAGUUUGAACAUAAUCAACUCAUACAUAUUGCAGAAACUAAGCUCAGGAUUGGUUAACACUUCCCGGGCUUUUCAGUCUGGUCCUCCUUCUUUUGGCUACCUGUCCCGCCUUAGGGACUUUCCCCAAUCGCCCAAGGGCAUCAUGUCCUUGAGCCUGAUUGGCUCUCAGCCAGCUGUGUACGUGCCAAGGCUCAUGUGAGUUGAGUACGGUGCUUCACUAGCCCAUUGUCUCCCAACAGCUCAACAUCCACAUGUCCUACCUCACUUAACCAUUCCUCCACAAUCACUAAAACAAAUUUUCUCAUCUAUUGUCUGGUUUCACCUACCAGAUUGAAACAAUCUCUUUUAAACACAAAGGUACCUGAAUUCUACAGGAGUCAUUCAGCAGGAGCACAAUGGCUGGAUAUGGA